UUCAAUGUUUGAGGAGAUGUUUCUAAGGAUUUUUGGAGGGAAAAGCAAUAUUACACAAGAAAACCACAUUUUCUCUUGUUUGUUAUCAAAAUAUCUAGAGAAGCCAUAUCCACCUGCCUUUUUGUGGCUAACAGGGGUCUGAGCCCAUAAACUGACUGAGGAACAAAUCUUGUCCGUCGGGGGAGAAAACCAGUCAGCUGGGGGUUAAGUGGAUGGGAGGGUGGAGACGCCUCAGGAAAAACCUGCCAGAGCUGUAAAGGGUCAGAGCUUCAAACGGGAGUGAAAAAGCAGGGGGAAGUUAGAACUGAGCUCUCUUGCUUUCAAAUUCAAAAAUUUUCAGAUUUGCUUCAAACGUAUACUUAAGAACUCUAGGGGCCAGCCCUGUGGCCCGGUGGCCGAGUGGUUAAGUUCACACGCUCCGCUUAGAUGGCCCACGGUUUUGCCAGUUUGGAUCCUGGGCACGGACCUAGCACCGCUCGUCAGGCCAUGCUGAGGUGGCGUCCCACAUAGCACAACUAGAAGGACCUACAACGAAGAUAUACAACUACAUACUGGGGCGCUUUGGGGAGAAAAAGAAGAAGAAAAAAGAGAUUGGCAACAGAUGUUAGCUCAUGGCCAAUCUUAAAAAAAAACACCUCUAAUAAUGCCGUAAAAAUCUCCAUCCUUGAAUUGGAAGCGCCUGUUCUUUCCAAAGUCGCUCCACGGGGCAGUAGUCCCUCCGACGCGUCUCCCUCUCGCUGGACAGUGGCGUGGCUCUGGAACACCUUCACCAUCCUUCCGGAAGCUCUCUGUGGAAGCCGUGCAGUCACCAGCUGAUGUAGAGCUUUGUCAUUUCAGGUAGUUCUGAAGAAGGAUGAUUUUCUUUGCUUAAGUUACGCAGGAAGAUUAGCCCUGAGCUAACAUCUGCCGCCCAUCCUCCUCUUUUUGCUGAGGAAGACUGGCCCUGAGCUGACAUCCAUGCCCAUCUUCCUCUACUUUAUAUGUGGGACGCCUGCCACAGCAUGGCUUGACAAGUGGUGCCACGUCUACACCUGGGAUCUGAACCGGCAAACCCCAGGCCACCGAAGCGGAACAUGCACACUUAACUGCUGCGGCACCGGACCAGCCC
RNAcentral lists this long non-coding RNA (1108 nucleotides) under Equus asinus (donkey). RNAcentral's name for it is "lncRNA (ENSEASG00005030945.1)". The record is from RNAcentral. Lineage: Eukaryota; Metazoa; Chordata; Mammalia; Perissodactyla; Equidae.